UCACGGCGAUCGCGAAGGCGUUCGGGACGCUGGGGAUUCCCGCGCCGGUGACCAAGUACGGGCAUCCCGCGAUGAUGGGCCUGAUGGUGCUCGGGAUGGGCGUGCCCGGCGCCGCGCUGGGCUGGGCCGGCCGCUU
RNAcentral lists this small RNA (136 nucleotides) under Rhodella violacea. Its description in RNAcentral is "partial Betaproteobacteria transfer-messenger RNA". Lineage: Eukaryota; Rhodophyta; Rhodellophyceae; Rhodellales; Rhodellaceae. The record is from RNAcentral.